GCCGCGGUAUCCUAACCGUGCGAAGGUAGCGUAAUCACUUGUUCUUUAAAUGUGGACUAGUAUGAAUGGCACUACGAGGGUUAUACUGUCUCCUUUUUCUAAUCAGUGAAACUAAUUUUCCCGUGAAGAAGCGGGAAUAUAACUAUAAGACGAGAAGACCCUAUGGAGCUUUAAACAACCCAGCAAUUACUUCUAAAUUUUAAAUUUCAAAAUAUUCAUUCUUUAAGUAAUAUGUCUGCAAGUUUUUGGUUGGGGUGACCAUGGAGAAUAACAUAACCUCCAUAUUGAAUGAAUUCCCUUCUAAGCUGAAAAUCACCAAUUGAAGCAUCAACACACUGACAUCUAUUGACCCAAUAUAUUUGAUCAACGAACCAAGUUACCCUAGGGAUAACAGCGCAAUCCACUUCAAGAGCCCCUAUCGACAAGUGGGUUUACGACCUCGAUGU
RNAcentral lists this ribosomal RNA (446 nucleotides) under Rhinella hoogmoedi. RNAcentral's name for it is "partial 16S ribosomal RNA". It matches the Rfam family "Bacterial large subunit ribosomal RNA", at positions 1930 to 2532 of the family's 2925-position model. Lineage: Eukaryota; Metazoa; Chordata; Amphibia; Anura; Bufonidae. The record is from RNAcentral.